AUACGGAGGGUCCGAGCGUUAUCCGGAAUCAUUGGGUUUAAAGGGUCCGUAGGCGGGAAUCUAAGUCAGUGGUGAAAUCUUGCAGCUCAACUGUAAAAUUGCCAUUGAUACUGGAUUUCUUGAAUUAGUGUGAAGUGGUUAGAAUGUGUAGUGUAGCGGUGAAAUGCAUAGAUAUUACACAGAAUACCAAUUGCGAAGGCAGAUCACUAACACUAUACUGACGCUAAUGGACGAAAGCGUGGGGAGCGAACAGGAUUAGAAACCCGAGUAGUCC
This 274-nucleotide ribosomal RNA is filed under the name uncultured bacterium. Its description in RNAcentral is "partial 16S ribosomal RNA". It matches the Rfam family "Bacterial small subunit ribosomal RNA", at positions 523 to 796 of the family's 1533-position model. The record is from RNAcentral.